Molecule: long non-coding RNA, 421 nt
Filed under: Homo sapiens (human)
Lineage: Eukaryota; Metazoa; Chordata; Mammalia; Primates; Hominidae
Description: HSALNT0328963
Source: RNAcentral
CAGAGAGAAUGGGGCAUCUUCUUAUUGAGUGCUGCCUGUCACAUUAAGGAGCAACUGUCUGCUUGGUGUUAGUAGACAUUUAACAGCCCUCUCACUCUGGCAAAGUUCAAUUGUCAACAAAGCGCUGGCAUCAGGAUAAGAACCUUCAGCAAGCAACAGUGACUAGCUGUGAUCUAAUGAUAACCUUUCAUUUCAUUUCAUAUUUAGAUUUAUAUUUACCUUCUCUUUCUAUUAAAUGGUGCUAGUUGUCCAUUGGAAGGAGUCAUAUGAAAUUAUCUUCUAAAAUAAAUAUAUUCAAAUAUUUUUAAAUCAGUUUAAAGAAAAAAUUAAAUAAACAUUUACAUAGGCGAUAUGUGAAUGCUGAAAUUUCAGGUAACAAGAAGAAAGAGGAAAGAGGGCUUCAGUGAAAGACCAGCAGCUG